Molecule: long non-coding RNA, 3953 nt
Organism: Hemibagrus wyckioides
Lineage: Eukaryota; Metazoa; Chordata; Actinopteri; Siluriformes; Bagridae
Exons: 7
Source: RefSeq, a predicted model, not a curated record
UUAAAUCCUAAAAAAAUGAAUGCAUUGGCCAUAUUCUUAUUAGAGAAAUUGUAACUGUGUUUAAUUGUGCUUUAGGUGGGGAUGACAAUCACCUUUUUUCUAGUAUCACUAAAGAUAAGAGAGAAGGGAGUUUCCUUUCCCAUGGUAUUUUCCAUUUCACUGCAGUUCCGCGAGGUAAGUCUCUCUCUCGCUCUCUCUCUCUCUCUCUCUCUCUCACAUACACACACACACGCACAUGCACACAUAUGCACACUGAUACACAUCGAUGCGGUGUUUAGUUUAAAUGUUAAAAUGUUUACUGUAUUGACUUGUAAUUGUUGUAUUUCUGGUUGCCUUCCUAUGGUUUACAGUAAGGUAAUUCUGUAUCUCUGUCUCUCUCUCUCUCUGUCUCUCACACACACAAACACACGGAUAGUUUUUAAUUAAUUUUUUUUUUUUUACGCUAUUGACUUUAUUCUAUCUGUGUAGGGAGUUUCCAUUCCCGUGUUGCUUUCCCUCCCAGUGAAGUUCAAAAUCAGUGCAGCUAAUCCACAUAAGUCUCUCUCUCUCUCUCUCUUUUACUCUCUUUCACUUUCUCUCUCUCUCAUCUCAUGCAAACACACAUACCAAUUGUCUUGGCUGAUUGCCAACGUUUGCGGUGUAUAUUAAUCCUAAGUUAAAAGUUUUACUGAAUUUACUUUAUCGUAUUUUUGCAGGAAGUUGCUCAUCAUCAUCCCGUCAAUCUCCCCCUCCCAGAAUCAGUGAAGUUCAUCCACAUAAAACUCUCUCUCUCUCUCGUAACUCUCACUCUCCUAUUUACAGACAUACAGUAUUUACUGUAGUCCACCCCAAAAGACAGUGAUUUAUCAGAAAUAGUUACUGGGUCUGUAUUUAAAAAAAAAAGUCCAUUGGCCAUAUUCCUAUUAGAGAAAUUGUAUCUGUGUUUAAUUGUGCUUUAGGUUUAGCUUUACCUUUUUCUUCUAGUAUCACUAAAGAUAAGGUAUGUACAUGCAUCUUUGUCUCUUUCUGCCUCUCAUUCUGUCUCCCUCUCUCUCUCUCUCUCUCUCUCUCUUUCUCUCUCACACACACACACACACACACACACAUUCUGUCCAUAAAAAUAAUGAAUAGAACCGGUAACAAAGGACAGCCCUGCCGGAGUCCAACAUGCACUGGGAACAAGUCUGACUUACAUCUGGCAAUGCAAUCCAAGCUCCUUCUGCUCUCUCAGAGCACAUCCCACAGAAUGCCACAAGGGACACAGUUCAAUGCCUUCUCCAAGCCCACAAAACACAUGUGAACUGGUUGAGCAAACUCCCACGAAUGCUCAAGCACCCUGUGGAGGGUACAGAGCUGGUCCAGUCUUUCAUGACUAGGAUGAAAACCGUAUUGUUCCUCCUGAAUCCGAGGUUUGAUUAAUGUUCAGACUCUCCUCUUCAGUAUCCUGGAAUAGACUUUCCCUGGGAGGCUGAGGAGUAUGAUCCCCCUAUAGUUGGAACACACCCUCCGAUCCCCUUUCUUAAAAAGAGGGACCACCUCAGUCGCCCAGUCCAGAGGACCUGUCCCUAACUGCCACAAUAUGUUGCAUGAGACCUAAGGUAUUCAGAGUGAAUCUCAUCUAUCCCUGGUGCCUUGCCACAGAGGAGCUGCUGAACUACAUCAGUGACUUCAGCUUGGGUGACGGAUGAAUCUGCCUCUGAGUCCUCAGCCUCUGCUUCCUCUACAGAAGGCGUCAGUGGGAUUGAGGAGAUCCUUGAAGUUUUCCUUCCAUCGUCCGACAAUCCCCAGUCAAGGUCAGCAACUCUCUACCUUCACUGUAAACAGUGCUUGCCCCUUCUGAGGUGCUGAAUGGUCUGCCAGAAUUUCCCCAAGGCCAACCUAUAGUCCUUCUCCAUGGCCUCACUGAACUCCUCCCAGACCUGAGUUUUUGCUUCCACAACCACCCAGGUUGUGGCUUGCUUGGUCUGCCAGUACUCAUCAGCUGCCUCCAGGGUUCCACGAGCCAACCAGGCUCGAUAGGACUCCUUCUUCAGCUUGACUGCAUCCCUUACUUCCAGUAUCCAUCACUGGGUUCGGGGAUUGCCACCAUGACAGGCACCAGAGACCUUACAGCCACAGCUCCAGACAGCUGCGUCAACAAUGGAGAAGGAGAACAUGUUCCACUCAGACUCAAUGUUCCCAACCUCCUUUGGAAUCUGGUUGAAUCUCUUCCGGAGGUGGGAGUUGAUGACCCCCCCUAACAGAGGGUUCAGCAAGACGUUCUCAACACACCCCCACAAUACGUUUGGGUCUGCCAAGUCUGUCCGGCAUCCUCCUCUGUAAGCGGAUCCAACUCGCCACCAGGUGGUGAUCGGUUGACAGCUCAGCCCCUCUCUUCACUCGAGUGUCCAAGACAUACGGCCGAAGGUCAGAUGACACGACCACAAGGUCGAUCAUUGACCUCCGGCCUAGGGUGUCCUGGUAGCAUGUUGUACUGAUGUGACCAUGAGUAGCACAGAAGUCCAACAACAGAACACCACUUGAGUUCAGAUCAGGGGGAGUUCCUCCCAAUCACGCCCCUCCAGGUAUCACUGUCAUUGCCCACAUGUGCGUUGAAGUCCCCCAGUAGAACUAUGCACCCCUCGCAGGGUCUCCAAGAAGGGUACGCCACACUGCUGUUGGGCCCAUAAGCCGAACCAAUGGUGAGACACCUAUCCCCAACCUGAAUGUGCAGGGAAACAACUCUCUUAUUUACCAGGGAAAAUUCCAACACAUGGUGGCUGAGCUGGGGGGCUAUAAGCAAGCGCCACCUCUCACCAGUAAUAGAGGGUCCAACCUCUCUCAAGGAGUUGAGUUCCAGAGCCCAGGCUGUGUGUGGAGGCGAGCCUACACAUGAGGGGAUCUGAACCGCUCUUAGUCUGGCCUGUCACCUAGGACCCCAUUUGCCUUGAGAGACCCUACUAGGAGCACUAGGACCCCGACAACAAGGAUCUUUCGGGUACUCAAACCCCUCCACCACAAUAAGGUGGCGGUUCAGGGAGGGGCCCGAUACUGUUUUUAAUUUUAAAUUUAAAAGGUUUAACGUAUUAACUUUAACUGUAUUUGUGUAGGGAGUUUCCUUAACCGUGGUGUUUUCCAUUCCAGUGCAGUUCCGCAAGGGAGUUUCCAUUCCCGUGUUGCUUUCACUCCCGAGGUUCAGCAAGGAAGUUGCUCAUCAUCAUCCCGUCAAUCUCCCCCUCCCAGAAUCAGUAAAGUUCAUCCAUGGGGGAUUCGUAAUUCUCACCUUCCUAAGUCUGAAAGAAGAGAUGAACUGUCUGCAAAAAAUGGAAAAUUAUGGAAUGGAAAAAAACUGGACUUCCACUCAAAACAGAAGGAACUGGCAAAAGUGAGAAACUUGAAGAUCACCAAAUACUGACAGUCUCUCUACAGCACUCCUCAACCUACAGUCUAUCUCUCUUUUCUCUCUAUCUAUCUUUUUUUGCUUGUUGUGGAAUAAUGGAAUAAUCAGUGCAAUCUUUAUAUGAAUUACUUAGAAUUAAGGAUUUUUAUACAGGGAGUGUUUUAGAUUAUUGAUAUAAUGUAUGCUUAAACCAAUGUAUAGCUGCUUUGGUUUUGGUAUCUCUUACACAAAAUAUAUUCAUGUUGUUUUAGUGGUUUACAGUGUCUAACAUUCUUUAAACCAAACAAUAAUAAAAAAAAAAAAAUCUUUCUACUCAUGUUAAAGAAAGUUUUAAUCAUUUUUAUUUUAGGAAAAGUCUUACAGUGGAUCAGAAGAUUUUUCAUUUCAAGACCAUCUCUACACCUAUAUAAUUUUAUCCCCCAAUUAUUUAAGACGUUCUUGUAAUAACUUUCCUGAAAUAUUUAGAGCAGUUGGUUUUUCACCAAAAUGUACUUUGUGUUAUUCUGACCCAAUAGCUUUUAAUAAUAUAUUUUAAAAAAGUUUCCUUAAACCCUUAUAUGUUUUUUUUUUUUUAGUUUGUAGUUGUAUUUAUUUA